GAAUGGAGGCCUACUCCGAAUCGGAAGACAUGAGCCCAUAAAACGUUUUCGGCAAAAUGUUCAUCAAGUAGCCAUACAAUAAAUAAUAGAACAGUCAGAUACAUUUGACAUGGAACCAUAAAAAUGCAGCCACCCCAAUAGAGCUCCCUCAAAGAAGACAACACCAGCUCAUUCAAAUUGUUGCCAUGUGCACAUAAGGAGCAGACAAAGGAUAUAAAGUAAAUGAAGCGCCUCGCAAAAUGCAGACUCCAGAUGAGUAGUGGCACAUCCCAGACGAUGGGGCGAGUAUUUCAUUCUAUUUCCAUUUUCACAUACUCGUUUCUCAGUUGCCAUUCAAAGGCGAAGAAGGCACAUCCACAGUUGAAAUCGAAAUCAAUUGUUAUACACAAUGAAAACUGUUUUCCUACACAAUAAAUGCUUACCGCACACUUUGGG
Drosophila melanogaster (fruit fly) is the source of this 435-nucleotide non-coding RNA. The record is from Ensembl. NCBI's taxonomy places the organism in Eukaryota, Metazoa, Arthropoda, Insecta, Diptera, Drosophilidae.